RNAcentral lists this long non-coding RNA (719 nucleotides) under Homo sapiens (human). RNAcentral describes it as "HSALNT0061662". The record is from RNAcentral. Lineage: Eukaryota; Metazoa; Chordata; Mammalia; Primates; Hominidae.
UGAAGAAGGUGCUUGCUUCCUUUGCCUUCCGCCAUGAUUAUAAGUCUCCUGAGGCCUCCCAGUCAUGAGUCCUGUUAAGCCUGCAGAACUAAGCAGAUGACGCACUCAAGGGGAUAAUGUUUUUAAUGUAACGAAUGGAACAAAAGAAUUAUUGCAGAGGUGAGGUCAAGGUGAAAGGAACCAAAGAGGACAUGAUGAAGCACCCAGAUCCAGCAAGAAUAGAAAGUCAUUACCUCUCCUUUGCUUGACAUGACAAAUAAAAAAAAAAAAAGACACAUAAUACCAGAACAUGAUAAGAAGUAAGAGCUAUGAUCACAGCAGAAGGGUCACUCAACAACAUCUGAAAUUAUAAGGAGAAGGAUAUACCUACUGCCAAGACCUAGCAGGAAGAUAAAAGGGGAGAAUACUUGGGCUACUUUUUCUAUUCAAACAACAAUUUCAUAGCUACUGCCAAGGCCUAGCAGGAAGAUAAAAGGGGAAAAUACUCUGGCUACUUUUUCCAUUCAAACAGCAAUCUCCCUCCUCCUCUCCCUCCUCUGUCUAGAAAUCCCCAGUGUCUCUUGUUUCCAUCUUUAUAUUUAUGUGUAUGCAUGUUUAGCUCCCGCUUGCAAGUAAGGAAAAACAUCCAUUGGGUAUUAUGCUCACUACGUGGGGGAUAGGAUCAUUUGUAUCCCAAACUUCAGUGUCACACAAUAUACCUACAAACCUGCACAUAUACC